This 253-nucleotide ribosomal RNA is filed under the name uncultured bacterium. Its description in RNAcentral is "partial 16S ribosomal RNA". It matches the Rfam family "Bacterial small subunit ribosomal RNA", at positions 524 to 776 of the family's 1533-position model. The record is from RNAcentral.
UACGUAGGGGGCAAGCGUUGUCCGGAAUCAUUGGGCGUAAAGAGCGUGUAGGCGGCUUGGUAAGUCCGCUGUGAAAGUCCAGGGCUCAACCCUGGAAAGCCGGUGGAAACUGUCAAGCUUGAGUCCGGAAGAGGCGAGUGGAAUUCCUGGUGUAGCGGUGAAAUGCGCAGAUAUCAGGAGGAACACCAAUGGCGAAGGCAGCUCGCUGGGACGGUACUGACGCUGAGGAGCGAAAGCGUGGGGAGCGAACAGG